Molecule: long non-coding RNA, 205 nt
Filed under: Homo sapiens (human)
Lineage: Eukaryota; Metazoa; Chordata; Mammalia; Primates; Hominidae
Description: HSALNT0283993
Source: RNAcentral
GGAAGCUUCCCUUCUACCAACAGGAUUUCAUGGUUGCCAGAAAGUCUCCCUCUGAUGCCGAGCCAAAGCUGGACUGUACUGCCGCCAUCUCUGCUCACUGCAACCUCCCUGCCUGAUUCUCCUGCCUCAGCCUGCUGAGUGCCUGCGAUUGCAGGCGCGCGCUGCCACGCCUGACUGGUUUUCAUAUUUUUUUGGUGGAGACAGG